RNAcentral lists this ribosomal RNA (1361 nucleotides) under Enterobacter hormaechei. RNAcentral's name for it is "partial 23S ribosomal RNA". It matches the Rfam family "Bacterial large subunit ribosomal RNA", at positions 395 to 1756 of the family's 2925-position model. The record is from RNAcentral. Lineage: Bacteria; Pseudomonadati; Pseudomonadota; Gammaproteobacteria; Enterobacterales; Enterobacteriaceae.
UGCUGUGAACUCGAAGAGUAGGGCGGGACACGUGGUAUCCUGUCUGAAUAUGGGGGGACCAUCCUCCAAGGCUAAAUACUCCUGACUGACCGAUAGUGAACCAGUACCGUGAGGGAAAGGCGAAAAGAACCCCGGCGAGGGGAGUGAAAAAGAACCUGAAACCGUGUACGUACAAGCAGUGGGAGCCUCUUUAUGGGGUGACUGCGUACCUUUUGUAUAAUGGGUCAGCGACUUAUAUUCUGUAGCAAGGUUAACCGUAUAGGGGAGCCGAAGGGAAACCGAGUCUUAACUGGGCGUUAAGUUGCAGGGUAUAGACCCGAAACCCGGUGAUCUAGCCAUGGGCAGGUUGAAGGUUGGGUAACACUAACUGGAGGACCGAACCGACUAAUGUUGAAAAAUUAGCGGAUGACCUGUGGCUGGGGGUGAAAGGCCAAUCAAACCGGGAGAUAGCUGGUUCUCCCCGAAAGCUAUUUAGGUAGCGCCUCGUGAACUCAUCUUCGGGGGUAGAGCACUGUUUCGGCUAGGGGGCCAUCCCGGCUUACCAACCCGAUGCAAACUACGAAUACCGAAGAAUGUUAUCACGGGAGACACACGGCGGGUGCUAACGUCCGUCGUGAAGAGGGAAACAACCCAGACCGCCAGCUAAGGUCCCAAAGUCAUGGUUAAGUGGGAAACGAUGUGGGAAGGCACAGACAGCCAGGAUGUUGGCUUAGAAGCAGCCAUCAUUUAAAGAAAGCGUAAUAGCUCACUGGUCGAGUCGGCCUGCGCGGAAGAUGUAACGGGGCUAAACCAUGCACCGAAGCUGCGGCAGCGACGCUUAGGCGUUGUUGGGUAGGGGAGCGUUCUGUAAGCCGUUGAAGGUGUCCUGUGAGGGGUGCUGGAGGUAUCAGAAGUGCGAAUGCUGACAUAAGUAACGAUAAAGCGGGUGAAAAGCCCGCUCGCCGGAAGACCAAGGGUUCCUGUCCAACGUUAAUCGGGGCAGGGUGAGUCGACCCCUAAGGCGAGGCCGAAAGGCGUAGUCGAUGGGAAACAGGUUAAUAUUCCUGUACUUGGUGUUACUGCGAAGGGGGGACGGAGAAGGCUAUGUCAGCCGGGCGACGGUUGUCCCGGUUUAAGCAUGUAGGCGGAGGUUCCAGGUAAAUCCGGUACCUUGUUAACGCUGAGGUGUGAUGACGAGGCACUACGGUGCUGAAGUGAUAAAUGCCCUGCUUCCAGGAAAAGCCUCUAAGCAUCAGGUAACACGAAAUCGUACCCCAAACCGACACAGGUGGUCAGGUAGAGAAUACCAAGGCGCUUGAGAGAACUCGGGUGAAGGAACUAGGCAAAAUGGUGCCGUAACUUCGGGAGAAGGCACGCUGAUA